GGGGGCAGAGAGAAGAGGGGCCAGAGGAUCUGAAGCAGACUCCGACAGCAGAGAGCCAGCUUUCACAAACCGUGAGAUCAUGCCCCGAGCUGAAGUCAGAUGCCCAACCAACUGAGCCACUCAGGCGCCCCUGUAGGCAGUUUUCAAAAUGUGGCCUUCACAUGUCAACCAAGAGGCCAAAGAGUGAGAAGCAGGGGUAGGGGGGAGGUGUUAAUAACUAAUGAAAAGUGUCCUUAGCGUUGAAAAAGUUGGGUACCUACUAGUCUAUAAUGACUUUUAAGGACCUUUCUAACUCCAAAAUACUAUGAAUCAGUGAAAAGAUGCUAUUUACGGCUUUGCAUCAGGAGGUACCCAAAUGAGUUAAUCUGGACAGCCACCAUAACAGAGUGUGUGAAGAGGGACAGAGAACCUGUGGCUGACUGGGAUAGUCAGGGGAGGAGGGCUUCCCGGACGAGCUACGAUUGAGCCAUGUGAUUCUUUUACGAGUAGGGAGAGGCAUGGAGAGGGAACUCUAGACGGAGCGAUGAAAGACGGGACAGUACAAGUCAUUGCUGGGCACAGAGAAUGAAUCAGUUUUGCAUUGAAAGGUGAUGAAAAGGUAGUUUGAGGUUAGGGCACCAAAGGCCUUCAAACAUAAGGCUAAGCACAGACAGCUUUGGAAAAAUUAACCAUUACAAGUAUGAUUGUGUCAGGAGGAUUCUAUUCUGGCUUUUCUAGAACUGGAGGCUUGUGGAUAUAGGCCAAUGACUUUAGGAUGUCCUCCAUGCUUUAGUAUAUAGUGCUGGCUGGCCCUGAACAACAUUAAAAAAACAUUUUUUUAAGUAUCUGAGAGGUAACCAGGUAGCAUGGCAUUAUAUUGACAGCUGAACUACAAAGCAGGAAAGCUUAUUUUAUGGUAGCUGUCCAUCUGUAUCUUUCUGAAUUUAUGUGUAGAACGAAUCCCUGGUAAAUCCCAAGAUGCUUCUCUCUAUGCUAAAAAGUGGCUCAUAAAUGGUGUUGAAUUCUUUGUAAAACUCACCAAUCUCAACAGAAUUUCUGGUUCUGGAAAAGAAGGAUCUUCUCUGUUUAUUUUCUGUAGAAAACGACCACUUAGGAAUAGUCCACUCUCUAUUAUGUGUAACAAUAGAAAGACAUUCUUCUCUGGAUGGUAUAAAACAAUGACUCAUCCCAAGCCAUCUCUUGGAAUUAAGAAUGUAAUCAUAAUACACCCAUAAAUGCCCAUGUAUACAUGCUUAGGCAGUCCCAUUCUGCCUUCCUUUUUAUUACUCCCUCUUACCCCAUUGUGGUUUAGCUUGACUAACCUAUUUGCAGCACAUUAACAUUCUUAGUACAAAACUUUUGCAGCCUCUGAUAGGAAAAAAAAGAGGUGUGGAGAUGUCAGAUUUCAUCUCUGACACUGUUUCUUAAACUAUAUUAGAGAUGUAUUUUUUAAAAAAAACAUAGUAACCAUUUUCGGUUGACUCCUCUAACAUAAUUUAAUGAAGGGAGGUUAUCUGCCUUGGGCUUCUUCCAUAGAAACAGCAUUUAAACACUUAAAGGAAAAAUUAAAGAGCGCAGUGGCCUUGGGGACAGCGAGUGGGAGCAUGGACAGCAUAGGAUUUAAUAAGCUGACAGAGGAGAGAGGAAUCCCACGCUAAGUGGAGACAGCCCUGGUGAUGUCAUAGGCAAGGACUGGGAAGAGGGGGGGUAUAGGCGGAGAAAAGAGAAAAGUCAAUAGGUCUUGCAUACCUCACCCUCAACAUCCCUGAGAACAUGACAGGCAAGCCCUCUUGUCUCCGGUUUAUCAGCUCUCUCCUCGUAGGGGUUCCUGUCACACAGCUUUUAUCCCAGGACUGGAAAAGUUAGGCCAUAUGGGCUUCAGAGGUAAAGUUUUGUGGGAUUGGUCAAUGCUGAUCUGGAAGUUGAGCAGCAAACGAAAAUGGUACCAUAUCAGCAUUAAAACAAAAUCGCUGAAGUAAGUGUUCUUGAAGAGUAAUUGAACACCCGGUUGGAUGAAGAUUUAGAUCCAAAGAGAAAAUUUUUAGGAUGAUGAGUAAAUUAUUGUUAUUUUGAAAAGUUUUGAUGUUUAUUUUUGAGAGAGAGAGAGAGAGAGAGAGUUAGGGAGGGGCAGAGAGAGAGGGAGACACAGAAUCCAAAGCGGGCUCCAGGCUCUGAGCUAUCAGAACAGAGUCCGACGCGGGGCUCGAACUCACAAACCAUGAGAUCAUGACCUGAGCUGAAGUCAGACCCUCAACCGGCUGAGCCACCCAGGUGCUCCAGGAGUAAAUUAUUAAGUGGGAAUUUCUAAAAGAUUCUGGUACAGAUGUUAGAGCAUGCUAAAAAGUAUACUUAGAUUGACAACCUGUAGAGCAACUGGGACUAUUCUCGUAAUUAUGAAAUGGUACAUUUUAAAUAAUAAAUCUCGACUUUGUACACCAUAGGUUCUUAAAAAUACCAGUUGAUAUCUUUGUCUUCCUACCUUUAUUCCGUCUAAUUUUGGAAUAAUUUAUUUCUGGGUUGCCUUCUGUGGUCUUGGUAGAAUUGCGGAUUUUACAACAUGUUUCAGGAAAGUAAUUUCAACAAAUGUAAGAUUAUCUGCAAUUUAGUUUUCUGAUUCAGCAGCCAUAACUAUUUGCCAGAUUUUUGUUGUUGUCGUUUGUUUAUUUAACCCUUACCAACAAGAUUUUGAGUAGUUCUGGAAUUUGAGAUUAACAUAUUUGUAGUAAAGAAACCAGUGUCACUUUCUGCAGGAAGAGUGGUUUUUUUUUUUUUAAUGUAUGUAAAUAUACAUAUGUGUAUUUAACUGAAAACAAGGUUUUUUGACUUCUCUCCAUAGAGAACUUGAGUUGAUUUUUUAUUGUUUUGCCUUUCUCUCCUUCCUCCUUUGUUUCUGUAUUAGCAGAUUUAGAGUUUGCAAGGAUCUAAUAGAAAAAGCAAAGAAUUUGGAGUCAGAAAGUACGAGGCUCCGGAUUCUGGCUUGAUGGUAGCUGGGCAAGUUACUUAGCCUUUCUGACCCUCAGAAUCCUCACCUGUAAAAUAGGAUAGUAUCACUCAUCUCUUGCGGGUUUUUGUAUGGAUUAAACCAGGGGGAGAAAAGUGCUUAGCAAUAAAGGUUAGUUUGUUUCCCUUUGGCAGUCUUUUAAGCUUCAGGGUCCAAUUUUCUACUUGUUUUAGAAUAAAUCCGAAUUUUAUGGUUAUAUUUCCAUAUUUUUCUUCAAAGUCAGGCUUUUUUAUGUGUCUUCCUCCCAAUUUUUAAAGCUGGGUUUUCUGUCUGCUACUCUGUUUCUUUCUAACUUACGUUUUCUGUAAGGUAUGUAUUAGUUAUUGAAGUAUCUUUGAAAGAAAAAUGGUGUGCAUUUUUUAGUGGGGACCAUUGAACAACUUCACAAAAUGGUUAACUCACAUUCUAAACUCUUAGAGUGUGCCUCAUGUCAAAUUUCUUAAAAAAAAAAAGUUAUCUAAAUCUAUUUAUUGUGAUAAACCAUAUUGUGAUAUGUGAUUAUCAUUAUUGUGAUACACCAUAACAUAAUUGUGAGACGUGGGGGGGUGCUGUAAAGAUACAACUUUGCUUAGGAUCCUUACCACACAAGAGCCUGUGAUUGAAUGUACAUUGGCAUGGGCACCUAUGGACAUUCCCCCCCCCACCAUAUUCAGUAUAGAUCUGUUGGUUUGAAUUGAUGAGGAACAGGAGAAGGGUUUUGGUGAAGAGAAAGCAAAUGGGCUUAUAUUUAAAAUCUAAGGUUGUUGGGUUUUUUUUUUAAUGUUUGUUUAUUUUUGAGAGAGACAGAGUGUGAGCAGAGAAGGGGCAGAGAGAGGGAGAACAGAAUCAGAAGCAGGCUGCAGGCUCCGAGCUGUCAGCAUAGAGCCCGACGCAGGUCUCCAAUUUAUGAACCAUGAGAUCAUGACCUGAGCCGAAGUCGGACCUUAACCGACUGAGCCACCCAGACACCCCUAAAUUCUCAGUUUUAUCAUAGAUACUUAAUUCACCAUAUUAUUAUUUUUCAUCCCUUUGCUUUCAGUAGGAAGCUAUUGCUGCUGUGAUAGAGCAUGGGCCAGAGGGAAAUACUAUGGGAUUGAUGGCAUUCUAGUGAAUUGUGGAUGAGCUCAAAUUCUAGAGUUAGACUGAGCUCAAAUUCUAGAUCCAUCAUUUACUAGCUGUGUGACUUUGGGUGAGUUAUUUAACCUCUGUCUACCUAAAUUUCCUUAUCUGUAAAAGGAGGCUAAUAAAUUGCACCCACCUUUGGGGUUGUUAAGAGGAUUAAAGGAGAUAAUGCACUUAAGUGCUUAAUAGAGUGCUUGGCACAUAAGCUUUCAGUAAGUGUUAGCUAUUAGUAUUUUUUUAUUUGUUCCCAGUGCUUCAUCCUUUGUCUUAUAUUCUGGAUAUUAUAUAGUAAAAAAGGAGAGGAAGUCAUUGUACAAUCUUCUGAAAACUGAUCUCAGCGACAUAGUAGGAAAGAUGUUGGAUUGUGAUCUAAGAGUUUUGGGUUCCAAUCCUGGCUUUAACGGUAACUGGUUGCGUGAGACUUGGGCAACUCUUUCAGUUUCCUUACCAAUGAAAUUGUGGUAGCUAUUCUAUAUGUCUCUAACAUGCCUUCCAUUGCCCAAGCCUUAGGACAUUAAGUUUAUCAACAAGUCUUUGGUUUGGGACCUCUUCAUUACCUCAUAGCCUGUGACCUUGUUUCCUUUCUCAUUGUCCAGUAGGAAUUGGACCAGAGCUGGUGGAAGGUGGGAUGAGGAGAGGAGCUAAGAGUUUCACUGGUUGGAAUGUUAUUGCCAGGCGGGAAGAAGUGCUCUUGUGACUUUUAAGAUUAGAAGGAAAGAAUUGAUUCAGGUCUUAAUUAAUAGUAUUAUUCUGUCAUUUCCACCUUCCACCAUUUUAUUAUUAUAUUUUGUCAGAAUUGAUUAGCAAAAUGCAUUUACCCAGGGGUUGUCAGGGUUCCUGUUUGUAAGGUCCAAACAACAUUGUUAGUUACUUCAAUCAAUGUAUGCCCCUAAGGGUAGAUUCACCGAAUUUACCUGUCAAAGCUUAAUUAAGGACAAGCUCCAGGUUGAGUUCAGGCUACUCAAAUUCAGGGUUACGUUCUGUCCGUUUUGCUUCUAAUCAAUGGGUGGUAGGAUGUCAUUUGGAGAGGAUUUUGAAUAUUUGCAAUUUCUGAGGUGGCAUUUUGCUGCUUAAUAAGUACCUUAGUGUGAUUUCUUACUUCGUUUGGUUUUCUUUCUCCACAAUUUCUGUAGAUGCCCAGAUGAAGGCAAUAGCACCUGGAUAAUCAGAGCAUAUCCUUUGGAGCAUUUGUUGCUAACGUGUAGUUUUUGAGCAAUGCUUGGCAACUGAAAUGGGAAUCUUGUAUUCCUCUUUCAUAGAUGAGUCUGUUAAUAAGUAGGUUGCUCUGCCUUUCAAUUCUGAGCUUGAGUUGUUUCUUUUUUGUAUGUGGAAUUCGUAACCCUCUUUGAUGUCGACCUUCUGUAAAGCAAACAAUAGCUGCAGGAGCAAAAUCCAAGUAACAGUAAUAAUUGUUUGUGUUUAUAAUGUGCUUACCGUGUACCUGGCAUUGUGUUGAAUAUAUUAUUUUAUGAAAUCCCAAGAACAACCCUGUGAGCUAGGUACUUCUGUCGUCUCUAUAUUACAUGAAGGAAAUUGUGAUUGAAGAUGUUAAACAAAUUGUGCCAAGUGCAAGACUGAUAGUAAGUCGUGGAGCUUGAUUUCCAAGCCAGAUCUGCCUGAGCCAAGGCUUUCUUUUAUGUUGUCCUUCACUAAAGACUCACUGAACAGAAAUGAAAGAGUGCUGGGCACAUGCCACGCGGUUAAUUCUAUAUAAAUCCGGUCAGAUUCUGAAUAGUGUCGACCUGGUAGAGUCAGUGUGAAUUUCUCAUCAUAACAAGAGACUUAACGUGGCAAAAGCCAAUAUCCUAAGAAAGGAGAUGUUAAUGCGCCGUGCAGACUGCCGUUUUUGGGGGGAGGGUUGUUGUUGUCGGUUAUUGCUCUAGCAACUACCACAAAGGCAGCAUUUACUUGACAAGCCACGUGUACUUAAGGCAGAACACUGACUGCUUUUCAUGCUGGCAGAUCCGUACUCUACCAGCACUGGCUACCUGUGAGGAAUGUGAGCAAGUUGGAUUUUAGGACAGGAAAAACACAACUUCCACCUCAUUUCACAGUAGGGUUCACUUCGGGAUACAGACUUUUUGGUGGCAGCGACUGUUACCUUCUGCUUAUGAUUUCUGAUACUUGCAGAAUACUUACCUGGCAGAUACUGUCAGAUGACAGGCCCUCCUCCUUCCUACAUGUUCUUCAUGAGAGAAGUGCUAGUUGCAAGCGUUUUAUUACAUUAGAAUUCUACUUAAUGCCGCUUUAGCUUAGAGUGUGUUUGUUAUGAAGUCAGGAUCGUGACAUGUUCUUUUUUCCUCUUGUUCUUCCUGAGUCUGGUGUUCUUUCCCUCAGUAAUGGACUAAGAUGCAAGUGUGUUGUGAAGAAGGAGAAUUUCUUGCCCAGAUGGACCCCAGUGAAAGUAACUUCCGUAAAGAGACUCCGCUUCUGUUUGGGAAAAUGAUCUAAGAUGCACGCAGUGCUUUUCUUUUUUAGAGACGAACACUUUAUCCUAAUAUUUGGCCACUUACAAUCAGUCUGUUGCAGAAUCAGGAAGUGUUCUAUAUGUUAGCAUGAAGUUCAAACCAUAGCCUUUAAACACUGGGAAAGGGAAUUGAGGGUAGAUGCCAAGACGGGUUUGGAAAAGGCAUGGUAAGUUCAGGAAAGUGUAAAUGGUUUCAUCCGGCCAAAGCACAGUAGCAGUGUGAGGAAGUGGUAGGAGGUGAGAAAGGAUAGGUUGUGGGGACCAGACAACAGAGGAGCUUUGUAUUUUAUGCUAAGGAGUUUGGAUUUUUUCCUGUAGAUAGUGGGGAAACUUAUAAUACCUUUUUUAUUUUUUAUUUUUUGAGAGAGAGAGAGAAAAAGAGGGUAUAAGUGAGCAAGGGGCAGAGAGAGAGAGAAUCCCAUGAGGGGCAGAGUGAGAGAGAGAGAGAGAGAGAGAGAGAGAGAGAGAGAGAGAGAGAGAGAGAGAGAAAGAAAG
Neofelis nebulosa (Clouded leopard) is the source of this 7043-nucleotide long non-coding RNA. RefSeq lists it as uncharacterized. The transcript is spliced from 2 exons. NCBI's taxonomy places the organism in Eukaryota, Metazoa, Chordata, Mammalia, Carnivora, Felidae. The record is from RefSeq and is a predicted model, not a curated record.